UGGUGGGAGAUUGCAGGUGUCUGGUUGAAUUAGUCUAAGUGCACCCAAGCUAGUCGGGACACUACGAUUAUUUAAAAAAAAAGUGAUAUUUGCCCUUUGGUAUUGCAUCAAAUCAUCUUUUUGGGGGCAAAGUUAGGGUUAUGGUUUAUGGAGUACUUUCUUUCUAAGUUCAUGGAGUCUAUCCUUCUAUAUCCAGUUUUUCUUUUCUUAAUUGAGGUACCAUUUUCUUGCUAUUUCUGUUUGUAGAAUUCUGGAUAUUUCUUAAUUUUUUUAAAAAGUUGCAUUGAUGUUUAUUCUUUGAUUGUUCUUUCCUUUUUCACAAGUUGGAACCUUUAAGUGUAUAUACUCGCCAUUUUUUCAGAGAACCCUAGCUAGUUUUGGAUUAAGAAUAUCUGAGUUUGAUUUGGGUGUGGCUUUUUUGUGAAAAUUGGGGUUGGAUUUGCUCCUAAUUCUUCUCUUUUUCAGUAAAAUGUGAAUCUUUAGUAUGGGGUCUAAAUUUUCUUAUAAAUUAUCAGUGGGUUAUCUUUAAGACUAGUUCAAUUAUUGUGAUCUUUGGUUUAUCCAAUGAGUGAUGGUGUUACCUAGUGGUCAAGAAGGUGGGUUGAGGACUGUAAGGUUUGGGGUCCAAUUUCCAGUGGAGGCAACAAUACUAGGAGAUUUGUUUUCUCAUCUGUCCAAGCUUUGAUUGAUAAGAGUUAUCGGUAGCUGCGGGGGUGUAGCAGGUAUUCGGUGGAAUUAGUUGAAAUGCGCGCAAGCUAGCCGGGACAAUAUGGUUAUUUUUAAGAAAUGAUCUUUGGUAGUGCUGCGAAUUGCUUUUUUGGGGCAGGGUAUGGUUAUGGUUUAUGGAGUAGUUUCUUUCUAAGUUCAUGGAGUCUUCUAGUCCUCUUGGAGGUAGCAGGCAUUUGGUGGAAUUUGUCGAACUGCUCGCAAGCUAGCCGUGACACUAAGAUUAUUUAAAAAAAGGUGAUCUUUGAUAGUGCAGGGAAUCACUUUGUGCACCAGGUUUAGGGUUAUGGCUUAUGGAGUAAUUCCUUAUUAAGUUCAUGGAGUCUUUGUCCUCUUAGAAUAAUUUGCAUUUGGGAAAACCUGUUAGUUAUUUUUUGUUGUUACGUUUGCAUUUAGGUUCAGGUGGAUAAGGGUUAGUUUUAGAAUACUUCUAGUUUCAGAGAAUCCUUGAUAUGCUUUAAUAGACAAGAUAAUUACCAGUAUUGGAAUGAAAUGGACUCAGUCGAGCUGAGCAUAUAGAGGAUUCUUGUCACAAAUCUUAGUUUCGAUGAGUUUUGUUAUCUUGAUUGAGUUGGGAUAGCAUUUUGUGGCAGAUAAUCCUUUCUCCCCCCUUUUGUGGAUAAAGAAUCUCUGAAUUUGUUACAGGUGUAUAUUUUUUGUGAGAUUGGGGUUCAAUUUGGUUUUAAUUCUUUUCCUUUUUAGUAAAAAUUGCAUCUUUGUUAUGGGGUGCUGAAUUUACUUAUAAGUUAUCAGUGGGUAUCUUUAGGACUAAUUCAGUUAAUCUGAUCUUUGGUGCACCCAAUGGUGUUGNNN
RNAcentral lists this long non-coding RNA (1539 nucleotides) under Capsicum annuum. RNAcentral describes it as "long non-coding RNA (CANN_LNC020427)". The record is from RNAcentral. Lineage: Eukaryota; Viridiplantae; Streptophyta; Magnoliopsida; Solanales; Solanaceae.